This is a long non-coding RNA of Macrobrachium nipponense, 352 nucleotides long. RefSeq lists it as uncharacterized. The transcript has 3 exons. NCBI's taxonomy places the organism in Eukaryota, Metazoa, Arthropoda, Malacostraca, Decapoda, Palaemonidae. The record is from RefSeq and is a predicted model, not a curated record.
CAGACUCCCAAGCACCUGCCCAUCCUACUCCAUAGCCCAGCCACCCACUCAUCUACCAUACAUAUGCCCAUCCCAGUAAGCAAGCCAACCACUAGAAUUUGACUGGCAUGCACCUGUGACUUACAUAAACCAGACCUCUACAUGGCCUACAUGUCUUCAUUUUGCUGAAGACUGCCCAUCAUCCUAGCCUGUUAUCUGUGAUAAAGCACACUGAAGUUAGGUUUGGAAUGCAUCCUUAUCAUGAAUGCUCUACACCUCCACCUCCAUCUCCCACAACCUAGGUAACAGCUUUGAGACUCACUAAAAGUUGGUAAGUUAUGUAAGGAAUUUCUAAAUUAAGUUUUAUACUAAA